GUGAAACUGAUCUUCCCGUGAAGAAGCGGGAAUAUACCUAUAAGACGAGAAGACCCCAUGGAGCUUUAAAUCCAACAGCACCUAUUACCCAUAUAUCUUUAUAUUUUUUUAGCAAAUGCUCGUUCGGUUUUAGGUUGGGGUGACCAUGGAGUAAAAAAUAACCUCCACGAAAAAAGGCAUAAAACCCUUAUCAAAGAGCCACAUCUCUAUGAAUUAGUAAACUAAUUUCUGAUGAUCCGAUAUUCGAUCAACGAACCAAGUUACCCUGGGGAUAACAGCGCAAUCCGCCUUAAGAGCCCCUAUCGACAGGCGGGUUUACGACCUCGAUGUUGGAUCAGGGUAUCCCAGUGGUGCAACAGCUACUAAAGGUUCGUUUGUUCAACGAUUAAAACCCU
RNAcentral lists this ribosomal RNA (395 nucleotides) under Boophis picturatus. RNAcentral's name for it is "partial 16S ribosomal RNA". It matches the Rfam family "Bacterial large subunit ribosomal RNA", at positions 2036 to 2597 of the family's 2925-position model. Lineage: Eukaryota; Metazoa; Chordata; Amphibia; Anura; Mantellidae. The record is from RNAcentral.